Molecule: ribosomal RNA, 498 nt
Filed under: uncultured bacterium
Lineage: Bacteria
Description: partial 16S ribosomal RNA
Rfam family: Bacterial small subunit ribosomal RNA
Source: RNAcentral
AUUGAACGCUGGCGGCAUGCCUUACACAUGCAAGUCGAACGGUAACGCGGGGCAACCUGGCGACGAGUGGCGAACGGGUGAGUAAUGUAUCGGAACGUGCCCAGUUGUGGGGGAUAAUUGCUCGAAAGAGCAGCCAAUACCGCAUACGACCUGAGGGUGAAAGCGGGGGAUCGCAAGACCUCGCGCAAUUGGAGCGGCCGAUAUCAGAUUGGGUAGUUGGUGGGGUAAAGGCCUACCAAGCCUACGAUCUGUAGCUGGUCUGAGAGGACGACCAGCCACAGUGGAAGUGGGACGCGGCCCAGACUCCUACGGGAGGCGGCGGUGGGGACCUUUGGACAAUGGGGGAAACCCUGAUCCAGCAAUGCCGCGGGCGGGAAGAAGGCCUUCGGGUUGUAAACCGCUUUUGUCAGGGAAGAAAUCCUUUGAACUAAUACUUCGGAGGGAUGACGGUACCUAAAGAAUAAGCACCGGCUAACUACGUGCCAGCAGCCGCGGUAA